AACCUAGCACACCUGCGGUGUGUACCUGCGGAAGGAUCAUUACCGAGUUUACAACUCCCAAACCCCUGUGAACAUACCUAUACGUUGCCUCGGCGGAUCAGCCCGCGCCCCGUAAAAAGGGACGGCCCGCCCGAGGACCCCUAAACUCUGUUUUUAGUGGAACUUCUGAGUAAAACAAACAAAUAAAUCAAAACUUUCAACAACGGAUCU
RNAcentral lists this unclassified non-coding RNA (210 nucleotides) under soil metagenome. RNAcentral describes it as "partial contains 5.8S ribosomal RNA, internal transcribed spacer 2, and large subunit ribosomal RNA". The record is from RNAcentral.